UACGUAGGUGGCAAGCGUUGUCCGGAUUUAUUGGGUUUAAAGGGUGCGUAGGCGGUUUUGUAAGUCAGUGGUGAAAUACUCUAGCUUAACUAGAGGGGUGCCAAUGAUACUGCAGAACUUGAGUACAGAUGAGGUAGGCGGAAUUGACGGUGUAGCGGUGAAAUGCAUAGAUAUCGUCAAGAACACCUAUAGCGAAGGCAGCUUACUGGGCUGUAACUGACGCUGAGGCACGAAAAGUGUGGGGAUCAAACAGG
RNAcentral lists this ribosomal RNA (254 nucleotides) under uncultured bacterium. RNAcentral describes it as "partial 16S ribosomal RNA". It matches the Rfam family "Bacterial small subunit ribosomal RNA", at positions 524 to 776 of the family's 1533-position model. The record is from RNAcentral.